RNAcentral lists this ribosomal RNA (460 nucleotides) under uncultured bacterium. RNAcentral's name for it is "partial 16S ribosomal RNA". It matches the Rfam family "Bacterial small subunit ribosomal RNA", at positions 338 to 795 of the family's 1533-position model. The record is from RNAcentral.
CCUACGGGUGUCAGCAGUGAGGAAUAUUGGUCAAUGGGCGUAAGCCUGAACCAGCCAAGUCGCGUGAGGGAUGAAGGUUCUAUGGAUCGUAAACCUCUUUUAUCAGGGAAUAAAGUGUGGGACGUGUCCUAUUUUGUAUGUACCUUAUGAAUAAGGAUCGGCUAACUCCGUGCCAGCAGCCCCGGUAAUACGGAGGAUCCGAGCGUUAUCCGGAUUUAUUGGGUUUAAAGGGUGCGUAGGCGGCUUUUUAAGUCAGCGGUGAAAGGUUGUGGCUCAAACCUAGAAUUGCCGUUGAAACUGGGGGGCUUGAGUAUGUUUGAGGCAGGCGGAAUGCGUGGUGUAGCGGUGAAAUGCUUAGAUAUCACGCAGAACCCCGAUUGCGAAGGCAGCCUGCCAAGCCAUGACUGACGCUGAUGCACGAAAGCGUGGGGAUCAAACAGGAUUAGAUACCCUAGUAGUC